Molecule: ribosomal RNA, 504 nt
Filed under: Weissella cibaria
Lineage: Bacteria; Bacillati; Bacillota; Bacilli; Lactobacillales; Lactobacillaceae
Description: bacterial SSU rRNA
Rfam family: Bacterial small subunit ribosomal RNA
Source: RNAcentral
UGAAGAGCUUGCUCAGAUAUGACGAUGGACAUUGCAAAGAGUGGCGAACGGGUGAGUAACACGUGGGAAACCUACCUCUUAGCAGGGGAUAACAUUUGGAAACAGAUGCUAAUACCGUAUAACAAUAGCAACCGCAUGGUUGCUACUUAAAAGAUGGUUCUGCUAUCACUAAGAGAUGGUCCCGCGGUGCAUUAGUUAGUUGGUGAGGUAAUGGCUCACCAAGACGAUGAUGCAUAGCCGAGUUGAGAGACUGAUCGGCCACAAUGGGACUGAGACACGGCCCAUACUCCUACGGGAGGCAGCAGUAGGGAAUCUUCCACAAUGGGCGAAAGCCUGAUGGAGCAACGCCGCGUGUGUGAUGAAGGGUUUCGGCUCGUAAAACACUGUUGUAAGAGAAGAAUGACAUUGAGAGUAACUGUUCAAUGUGUGACGGUAUCUUACCAGAAAGGAACGGCUAAAUACGUGCCAGCAGCCGCGGUAAUACGUAUGUUCCAAGCGUUAUCC